Long non-coding RNA from Gossypium arboreum, 447 nucleotides. RefSeq lists it as uncharacterized. The record is from RefSeq and is a predicted model, not a curated record. Lineage: Eukaryota; Viridiplantae; Streptophyta; Magnoliopsida; Malvales; Malvaceae. The transcript is spliced from 3 exons.
AAUUGUUGUUUGACAUGGGUUUAUGUUAUAUUCCAUCUCUUGCACACUGGACAAGUGCUGGGCUUUAGGCUGGUGUGCAAGGGGUGGAAUAUAUCAUUGAAUCAUGAUGUUUGAGUUUUCUCCUCCAAGUUUAUUUGAAGGAUGAAGGUUAGGUUCUUCUGCUCUAUAUUUCAGUAUAUUUGAUUUGUUGCCUUCAGAUUUGAGUGCAUUCUUCAAGCAAUUAAUGAUUUUUAUUAAGUGUUAAAAAAUAUGGAAAAGGUGACCAUCCGUAUGGAACUUUGAGUGCUCCUCUUCUUGCCGAAUUCGUGCACCAUUGAAGCAACUAGAAUUUUCAAGAAUCAGCCUUCAAUUAAGAUGCUUUGUGACUAAUCAAAUGCUGCUCAAAUUCAUGUUUCAUACGUUUCUUAAGGAUGAAGGAUUCAUUGCCAUUAUUGUGAUGCAAGGACG